Molecule: transfer RNA, 77 nt
Filed under: Burkholderia ubonensis
Lineage: Bacteria; Pseudomonadati; Pseudomonadota; Betaproteobacteria; Burkholderiales; Burkholderiaceae
Description: tRNA-Met
Rfam family: tRNA
About the family: Transfer RNA (tRNA) molecules are approximately 80 nucleotides in length. Their secondary structure includes four short double-helical elements and three loops (D, anti-codon, and T loops).
Source: RNAcentral
GGGCCCGUAGCUCAAUUGGUUAGAGCCGUCGACUCAUAAUCGACUGGUCGCCGGUUCAAAUCCGGCCGGGCCCACCA